Molecule: long non-coding RNA, 1798 nt
Organism: Triticum aestivum (bread wheat)
Lineage: Eukaryota; Viridiplantae; Streptophyta; Magnoliopsida; Poales; Poaceae
Exons: 2
Source: RefSeq, a predicted model, not a curated record
CGCUUCAUCUCUCCGCAUCUCUACUCUUCCCCAUACCAGAAGACACGGCGGUGCAAUCACCACCGGGCGGUGCCCUUCAAGGCUUCAACAAGUAGCAGAUUCGGCGCAGGAUUGCCACCGCCUCCGGUCGACAGGGAUUGAGGCCUCACGAGCGUCAUCUCCCUCCCUGAUUCAACCGCUCUCGCAAAGUCAACACAUCAAGCUCUCCUCCCAUUCUGCCAUUCAUAAAAUUCCCCCUACCUAUCUACAGUAGCACACGGCAGCGGGGAUUAGCGGGGAUGCAUCUCCGCCUGUGGCACUCAUCUGGCACAAUCCACCUGUCCAAGACCUGCCCGCCGAAGUUUCAGGUUGCAUCCUCCUUCCCAUCAUGAAGUCAGGUUGUUCUGUGGCUCCAGUACAUGGGUAUGGGUGCGAGGAGUAUACACGCAUUAAGCCUUGCCAAGGAACCCCAUUGGAAGGUGAUGACCGUCAGGUAGUCGUGAAGCAGCAGCAGCUAGGGCAGUGUACGGCACCUUUGAGCUAUUGUAGGCAAUCACGAACAUGGACCUUUUCGAAAAAAAUCACGGACAUGAAAGGUUCACUAGAAUCAAGUCAGGUGAGGAACUAAGCUUCCACUCACCUAUUUCUUCUUGCAAAUUCAGAAACGGGAGUUUGGGUUAUCAUUUCCUUUUUUUCCUUAUUCUAUAAUCCGUAAGUCACUGAGAUAACGACGAAUGCGGCUGUGAGAAGCGAUGGCUCUCCCGAUCCUCCUUUCAGUGGUAAGGAAUCCCUAUCAUUCUCUUUUUGGCUCUUACUUUUUUAUGAUACAGUUUUGUUUCCAUGAAUAGUUCAUCUCCUAAAUACGGAUAUCAUAAUUAUUCAACUACCAUUAAAAUCACAACUCUUUUUGGCUCUGGGAGGGUGACAAAGUAACCCAGUUCUGUUGCUUCUUAACUUCAGAUAUUCAACUACCAUUAAAAUCACAACUUCAUGAUAUCCUAGACCUUAAAGUAGCGUGCAUCUUCUUCUAUUAUACAUGCUCCACAGUACUAAUUAUAGCUGAAAAAUAGUACUUUUUACCAAGAUUGUUUGAGUGCAAUCUAAACCCUGUUUGUAGUAUGCUGCUGGGCCACCAAUCUACAUACGUUAUAGUCUUUUUGUUUUUGCGAGAAUUUAUGAAUUAAUAAUUCUAAUAUCAGUACCCUUCGGACAAUGGGUCAUGGUUAGUUCACUGAUGAUAAUAAAGGAUUCUCUAUGUUUUUGUUUACAAGAGUCCACAUCUUUAGCUCUUUAAUUUGCUAUGUUAAACUAAAGUAAAUUUCAUUUUUGUAAAACAUACACUUUUUGUAUUUAUGUAGGAUGGUGGAAGUGGAUGCAAACUUUUGUCUGUGUUUAUUAAAAAAUCAAAAUACAAGCAAUCAAAACAAACAAAGCACAAUAGUGUUGUUUUAAAGUGGGUAAGUUCCUGAAGUUAUUUUCCACUAUUUGUAUGAAACAGAGAAUGGCAUAGAAGCGUCCCUAUUUGAUAGCUCUAUGUCCUUUCUCAUUUUAAAUAUUUGCACGGUGCCGGUGCCAAAUGCUUUUUACCUGGUUGCACUUUGGAAAUUGAGCCGGAUAAUACUUCUCCAACUUAGUUGUAGCUACAUGUGUCUCCCACUAAAUUUUUGAUAGUUGCUCAAUUAGGCCCACUUCCAAUUCAUGUUUUUAUUACAGUUAUGCUUACCAACAUGUUCUUGGUAUUAUUGUCUUAGAACAUUUCAUAGCUUAAGAAAUGGUUACCUAAACUUUAUCGGUAUGAAGGACAACCUGGGAAACUUUA